GACGAACGCUGGCGGCGUGCCUAAUACAUGCAAGUAGAACGCUGAAGGAGGAGCUUGCUUCUCUGGAUGAGUUGCGAACGGGUGAGUAACGCGUAGGUAACCUGCCUGGUAGCGGGGGAUAACUAUUGGAAACGAUAGCUAAUACCGCAUAAGAGUAGAUGUUGCAUGACAUUUGCUUAAAAGGUGCAAUUGCAUCACUACCAGAUGGACCUGCGUUGUAUUAGCUAGUUGGUGAGGUAACGGCUCACCAAGGCAACGAUACAUAGCCGACCUGAGAGGGUGAUCGGCCACACUGGGACUGAGACACGGCCCAGACUCCUACGGGAGGCAGCAGUAGGGAAUCUUCGGCAAUGGACGGAAGUCUGACCGAGCAACGCCGCGUGAGUGAAGAAGGUUUUCGGAUCGUAAAGCUCUGUUGUAAGAGAAGAACGAGUGUGAGAGUGGAAAGUUCACACUGUGACGGUAUCUUACCAGAAAGGGACGGCUAACUACGUGCCAGCAGCCGCGGUAAUACGUAGGUCCCGAGCGUUGUCCGGAUUUAUUGGGCGUAAAGCGAGCGCAGGCGGUUAGAUAAGUCUGAAGUUAAAGGCUGUGGCUUAACCAUAGUACGCUUUGGAAACUGUUUAACCUGAGUGCAAGAGGGGAGAGUGGAAUUCCAUGUGUAGCGGUGAAAUGCGUAGAUAUAUGGAGGAACACCGGUGGCGAAAGCGGCUCUCUGGCUUGUAACUGACGCUGAGGCUCGAAAGCGUGGGGAGCAAACAGG
RNAcentral lists this ribosomal RNA (763 nucleotides) under uncultured Streptococcus sp. Its description in RNAcentral is "bacterial SSU rRNA". It matches the Rfam family "Bacterial small subunit ribosomal RNA", at positions 28 to 776 of the family's 1533-position model. The record is from RNAcentral. Lineage: Bacteria; Bacillati; Bacillota; Bacilli; Lactobacillales; Streptococcaceae.